RNAcentral lists this ribosomal RNA (562 nucleotides) under uncultured soil bacterium. RNAcentral describes it as "bacterial SSU rRNA". It matches the Rfam family "Bacterial small subunit ribosomal RNA", at positions 835 to 1397 of the family's 1533-position model. The record is from RNAcentral.
GGGGCUCGUGCCCGUAGCUAACGCGAUAAGUCCUGCGCCUGGGGAGUACGGUCACAAGGCUGAAACUCAAAGGAAUUGACGGGGGCCCGCACAAGCGGUGGAACAUGUGGUUCAAUUCGACGCAACGCGAAGAACCUUACCUGGGCUUGAAGUGUACUGGACCAUUCCUGGAAACAGGGACUUCCCGCAAGGGACCGGUGUAGAGGUGCUGCAUGGCUGUCGUCAGCUCGUGCCGUGAGGUGUUGGGUUAAGUCCCGCAACGAGCGCAACCCUUACUUGUAGUUGCCUCCCGCAAGGGGGAACUCUACAAGGACUGCUCCGGAUAACGGAGAGGAAGGUGGGGAUGAGGUCAAGUCAGCAUGGCCUUUAUGUCCAGGGCCACACACGUGUUACAAUGCGCGCUACAAAGCGUCGCGAACCCGCGAGGGGGAGCUAAUCGCAAAAAAGCGCGCUCAGUUCGGAUUGCAGUCUGCAACUCGACUGCAUGAAGCCGGAAUCGCUAGUAAUGGCGCAUCAGAACGGCGCCGUGAAUACGUUCACGGGCCUUGUACACACCGCCCGU